RNAcentral lists this ribosomal RNA (464 nucleotides) under uncultured bacterium. RNAcentral describes it as "SSU rRNA". It matches the Rfam family "Bacterial small subunit ribosomal RNA", at positions 26 to 518 of the family's 1533-position model. The record is from RNAcentral.
AGGAUUAACGCUGGCGGCGUGCCUAACACAUGCAAGUCGAACGAGGUAGCAAUACCUAGUGGCAGACGGGUGAGUAACGCGUGGUCAACCUACCGUUGAGUGGGGGAUAACUAGCCGAAAGGUUAGCUAAUACCGCAUACGAGUCUCGGGGGCAUCCCUGGGACUUAAAAGGAGCAAUCCGCUCGAUGACGGGACCGCGUCCCAUUAGCUAGAUGGUGGGGUAACGGCCUACCAUGGCACCGAUGGGUAGCUGGUUUGAGAGAGCGACCAGCCACACUGGGACUGAGAAACGGCCCAGACUCCUACGGGAGGCAGCAGUGAGGAAUUUUCCGCAAUGGGCGAAAGCCUGACGGAGCGACGCCGCGUGUGGGAAGAAGGCCUUCGGGUCGUAAACCACUGUCGAAGGGGACGAUAAUGACGGUACCCUUGGAGGAAGCCCCGGCUAACUACGUGCCAGCAGCCGC